Gasterosteus aculeatus aculeatus (three-spined stickleback) is the source of this 942-nucleotide long non-coding RNA. Lineage: Eukaryota; Metazoa; Chordata; Actinopteri; Perciformes; Gasterosteidae. The record is from Ensembl.
CCCCCAAAUAGGGUCACCAGCGACCCGAUCCACAACCAGCGACACCCGCCGUUUGACGAACUGCUUAAAGACACAUAAAGCCUCGCGCUAACUGCUCCACCUGCUCAGGUGUGCGUGUUUUCUCAGGCUAGCGAAACAUCCCGUUUCUCUCGCUUUAAAAAGAUGGCGGGCAAGCCCAGGCUAAAUGUAAGCUAGCUGGCUAGCUAAAGCAGCUAGGCUACUUACCGGAGACGUAAACGUCAUAAAUAGCGUUAAUAGCCGUCGUGUUGGCGUCUGAGCGCGUGCAGAAGGUGAUAUCUGGACGGGUGUUUCGGUAACAAGCGGCUCACCGGGGCGAUUAACGCGCUCACCGAUCCGUUGCUUGCAGAUGUUCCCGCUAGCUAAUGAGCCGUUAGCCUGUUAGCUGAGCUUUGUCUGAAGGCGCCGAGCGGCCAUCCAGGAUCCGACACACGGCGACUCAUCCCGUACGGCUCCUGCUCCCAUUACCCGUUAACCGCACCGGUACCGGUCGGAGAGGGGAUUCACUUUGUGGCUCGGUCCUCCGGGAAAUCCAGCAGUGGGCUCCGAUUGAACAUCAUCAUCUUCCUCUUCAUCAUCGUCACCAUCAUCAUCCUCCUCAUUAUAGUCAUCAUUCUCAAUAUCCUCAUCAUCUUCAUCAUCACCAUCAUCCUCCUUACCACCACCACUACCAUCAUCACCAUCUUCAUCAUCAACACCUGUGUGCUGGACGUCAGGAGGCUGUUAACAUGCAGCUGAGCCGGGCAGACAGACAGGAAGACAGACGGAUAACGGAGGAAACAGACAGACAGACAGAGGUAGGUCAGACAGAACGGACGCCAAAGGGGGGCAGAGAGGUAGACAGCUGGGCAGGUAGUCAAGUAGGGGAACAGACAGGUGGUCGUCAGGCAGAGACAGGCAGGUAGAUAUGAGGACUGUCUCAGG